GGGAAGGCAUGGGGCAUAGUUGUUUGUGGGUUUGUUUGAGUAAGGCAAUCAAGCUAUACAUAGGAUAGUCCUGAAACCAUGCCUCUUGUUGAAGAGCUUUCGAGGGAAGUAGAAAUAAAGGCAGCUGCAACUGAAUUCUACAACAUCUUCAGACACCAUUCUUUCAAUCUCCCAAAUAUUUCUCAGUCCAUCCAGAAAGUUGAAGUUCGUGAUUCCAUCACGUUCUAGUAUUACACAGUCGAUGGUAAAGCUGAAAUUUACAAAGAACGAGAGGAAUUCGACGAUAACGACCUACUCAUAUCCAUGAUUGGAGUGGGAGGAGAUAUGUUCAAGUAUUACAAGGCCUUUGAGGUUAUUUUUCAAGUUGUACCAAAGGGACCUAAACUUAGCUUGGUAGUUUUGCGCAUGAAAUAUGAGAAACUUGACCAUAACUCUCCCAAUCCAGACAAGUACGUUGGAUUUUUGAACAACUUGAUCAAGGACAUUGAAUCCCACCUUAAAGAUAAAUAAACCUCUAUAUGUCUCUAUUCGAGCUUCAUCUCAUUCAUAUUAUAAUAUGAUUGAGUAUGUUGUGUCUUAGUUGUGUUUUUGCUCCCAAUCUACAUAUCUUCUAGACUUGAUGUGUAUGUUUGUACUUAUUACCUAUGGUUCUCUAUGUUUGUGAGGAUUUUCUAUAAACUAAAUAAGUAUCCUCAUGCAGACUAGAUUCUCGUGUAUUCUCUCAGUUAUAUAAUAAAAUGUUAUCUUUUGGUAUGCUA
Molecule: non-coding RNA, 758 nt
Organism: Cucurbita pepo subsp. pepo (vegetable marrow)
Lineage: Eukaryota; Viridiplantae; Streptophyta; Magnoliopsida; Cucurbitales; Cucurbitaceae
Source: RefSeq, a predicted model, not a curated record